This 371-nucleotide long non-coding RNA is filed under the name Monodelphis domestica (gray short-tailed opossum). RNAcentral describes it as "lncRNA (ENSMODG00000046699.1)". The record is from RNAcentral. Lineage: Eukaryota; Metazoa; Chordata; Mammalia; Didelphimorphia; Didelphidae.
GAUUUGUAUCCCUAUAAGAAAAGAGGUCAUUGGUAACUCUUAAAAAUUGUUAUUAUCACCUGGGCAGCUAGAAGAAUUACACUUAGAGGGAACAGUAACAAACUGUAUAGGAUGAAAUGAUAAGACAUAAAUAGCCUGAGAGAUCCCAAAGGGCUUCCUGCACCUCCUUUGUGUGGCCUCACUGACUUAAUCCAGAAAUUGCACUCUCUUCUUUCCAUGAGGAGCUUCUUGCCAGCAGCAGUACAGAGAUAUUUACUCCAAAGGUAAAACAGAGACUAGGACAAAACCAGGAGGACAACCACCUUGAAGUUAAACGACAAAGGUGGUGUGAGAGCAAACAGGUGAAAGAACUAGCCCACUUUCCCUCAUAC